GACCUGGCUCCUCCUGAGAGGUGAUGCUUAUCUGUCAGAACUUGGAGGUGCCUUCUGUUCCGACUGCAGCUGGGCUGUAUCUUCUAUCCACAGAUUCACAUCGGCAUUUCACGUCCUUCUUGCUGCAGCCCCAUUUCCAAAGGGAGACCACCCCCACAUCCUUCAAGGCAGGCUAGGGGUCUCCAUAGCACAGCAUUGGACCAUCUGCUUUGCAUGCAGGCCUUCUGUCCUGGGAAUGUCCCCCCCCCCAUCGAAACCCUGGAUAGCUGCUGCCAGUCAGCGCAGGAUAGAAGAAGGAUAUUGAGCAGCUGGAAGGUGAGCAGAGGAGGGCGACCAGGAUGAUGAAGGGUCUGGAAACCAAGCCUGAUGAGGAACAGUUGAGGCAGCUGGGUAUGUUUAGCCUGGAGAAGAGGAGAGAGGAGAGCCAUCUUCCAAUAUCUGAGGGCUGCAAGAGGGAGCAAGCUUGUUUUCUGCUGCUCCAGAGGGGAGGGCAGGAGAGGAGAUUCGGACUAAACAUUAGCAAGAACUUUCUGACGGUAAGACUAUCUGUGAUGGUGGUGGACUCUGCUUCCUUGGAGGCUUUUAAGCAGAGGUUGGAUGCCAAUCUGCAAGGGAUUCAGCUGCAAUUUGGGAAGCGCAUGGCACUGGCCUACUUUACAGGGUUGUUGUAACCACACAAGGCUGUUGAGCAUCUGAAAGUGCCUGGCAAAUGUUGAGCCUUCCAUUUCAUUGUGGGGAACAGCACGUCAGGAGGCGUCCCUCAACUUCCGUUUCUUCUCUCUCCUGCAGCCAAGGGGGCCGGGCUGGAUUACCAAAUAGGCAGAGUAGGCACUGGCCUAUGGGCCCCACACAUUUUAGGGGUCCCGUCACAAUGGAUCAAAAUAAGAUUGAUUUGAUCUUGAAAGAAAACAACAAACAAGCUUUCUUAGUUCAAGGUUAUUCCAGUGUGCGCACGAGGCCUGCCUCCCUGCCCAGAUUUUGGCUGCCAAGGGGCCUCCACAGGGUUUAAUCCAGCACUGCCUCACAAACAGCCCAGUAUAUCUGAAGGAGCGUCACCACCCCCAUCGUUCAGCUCCAUCCCCACCCACUGAGGUCCAGCUCCGAGGGCCUUUUGGCAGUUCCCUCACAGCGAGAAGUGUUCCCUGGUUACAGGGAACCAGACAGAGGGCCUUCUCGGUAGUGGCACCCACCUUGUGGAAUGCCCUCCCAUCAGAUGUCAAGGAAAUAAACAACUGUCUGACUUUUAGAAAACAUCUGAAGCAAUUUCCCCAAAUACUUUCGUAUGCUAUUUUCACUAACCAAUACAACACUAGGCACAUUUUACUUGGAAAACUGCACUGAAAAACCUGAAGACGUGCAAAUUAUGAAGUAUAGCUGCUUUGGAGCUUGCACUUUGUUGAGAAGUACGUAUUAGGCACUUUCUCACUGAAAUGCAACCAAAGUUGAGUUCUCCCUCCAUGAUAAGGUGGUAUGAACACUAUAAUUAUAUCUCCCAAUUUCAGUCUCAUGCAAAAAUAUUUCAGGCCAUAUACAGCCAUGAUGGGCAAAAGAAACAAUGGUUAAUAUAAUAUAAUAUAGUACAUAAUAUAGUACAUAAUAUAAAAAAAGGUAAAGGUAAAGGUACCCCUGCCCGUACGGGCCAGUCUUGACAGACUCUAGGGUUGUGCGCUCAUCUCACUCUAUAGGCCGGGAGCCAGCGCUGUCCGCAGACACUUCCGGGUCACGUGGCCAGCGUGACAAGCUGCAUCUGGCGAGCCAGCGCAGCACACGGAACGCUGUUUACCUUCCUACUGGUAAGCAGUCCCUAUUUAUCUACUUGCACCCGGAGGUGCUUUCGAACUGCUAGGUUGGCAGGCGCUGGGACCGAACGACGGGAGCGCACCCCGCCGCGGGGAUUCGAACCGCCGACCAUGUGAUCGGCAAGUCCUAGGCGCUGAGGUUUUACCCACAGUGCCACCCGCGUCCCCCCAUGUACAUAAUAUAGUCCAUAAUAUAAUAUAAUAUAAUAUAAUAUAAUAUAAUAUAAUAUAAUAUAAUAUAAUAUAAUAUAGCAGUCAUCUGAACCUGUCUCUGGCAGUAAUCAAGACUCACAGACACCUUGUAAGGCAGGGAACAGAAAUAAAGAAAAAGAUCGCAGUAAAUAUGUCAGCCAAGCAGUUUGGACUCCUAAAGUUUAUGUUGUCAUGGAAGCCAAAUGCAACAUUUGGUAUAUCCAAACUGGCUUUUGGCGGCCAAUGCAGCCAGAAGUACAAUAAACCUGUAAUUCCUCAGGAUGUCUGCCUUCACUAGGUGCAUCGCAACAGCUUCUGAGCUACAAAUCUCCCUCUUUGGCUGUUUGCGCUUCUUCCUGAGAGAGGGGGUCUUACAGUUAAUUUCAAACGCAAUUAAAGUUCAAAGAUUUACCGCGGUGAUGGGGGUCUCCUCCAGAUGUUGCUAGCUUACUACUAGCAUCAGUCCCAGCCGGCGUGGCCAACAGACAGGGAUGAUGGAAACUAUGGUCCCAAGCAACCAGAAAACCAAGGAGACAGCACUAACAGGAAAAGAUGCUAGCUGCUUGAGGAAAGAUUCCAUUCAGGCCUGACACAUUUCAGAGUACGGUCAAACCUUGGUUCCCGAAUGGCUUAGUUGCUGAACAAAUCGCCUCCCGAAUGCAGCAAACCUGGAAGUAAGUGUUUGCGAGCGUUUUUUGGGAGCUGAACGUCCGACGCAGCUUCCGCUUGAGUGCAGGAAGCUCCUGCAGCCAAUCGGAAGCCGCGCCUUGGUUUUCAAACGGUUUCGGGAGUCGAAUGGACUCCUGUAACGGAUUAAGUUUGAGAACCACGGUACCACUGUCGUCAUCAUAAACUUUAUUGCACUAGCCAAACUCCAUGGCAUCAUUCAUAAAGGAAACAGAAACAAAAAUAACCAUAAAAACCAUAAAAACACCAGGCACUGCAAAUACAAUAAACCACGGUCACAUCUCCUAGAAAUUAUUUGUUGUGUACGAUAGAAUAGCAGGGGGUUCUCAGAUAGAAUGUGCCAGCUUAAAUGUCCGAAUCAGCUUUGCAAUUGGCCGCUAUUUUAUCUAGUUCUUUUCUCCGGAUCUUCUUAGCUGCCAACGCAUAUAGUGCUACUUUGUAAGUUACGAAGUCAUCAGUAUCACUCAGCAGCCAUUUCACCCUUUCUGCCCUGUUCGAGUGUGUUCCGUUCGCAAGCAGGGUUUUUUUUUAUAAAUCAGUCUCUUGGUUCUAUAUAUAGCAGGCAUUGCAAUAAAUAGUGGUACAGGUCCUCUACGCAAGGUUGUCCACACAGGUAAAGUCUCUCCUUGUACUGUACUUUGCUGUACCGACCAUCCACCACCGCCGAGGGCAAGGUACCACUGUAGUUCUUCCUCAGGGGCACGUAGCAAUGGUCAUUGAGUUCUUGAACCAUGGCAGUGACCCAUUUCCACUGCAGUGGUCCAUGCACUUGAUAGGAAACACACCCCAAAAGAAGCACUAUUUCCCCCUAAGUGCAUCAUGAUAAUGCAGAUUGUACCUUCUUUGACGCGAGCUCAAGAGAGAACAGGGAGUCCACCACCGUGACACACAUUUCAUUAGCUGAAACACUUCUGCUGUUCAGCGUGGUCUGUAGUUAUCCAAGUUGUAAGAGGAGCACUUACGCCUGCCUCCUUACCCUGUAAUUACCGUAUUUUUUGCUCUAUAAGACUCACUUUUCCCCUCCUAAAAAGUAAGGGGAAAUGUAUGUGCGUCUUAUGGAGCGAAUUCAGGCUGCACAGCUAUCCCAGAAGCCAGAACAGCAAGAGGGAUUGCUGCUUUCACUGCGCAGCGAUCCCUCUUACUGUUCUGGCUUCUGAGAUUCAGAAUAUUUUUUUUCUUGUUUUCCUCCUCCAAAAACUAGGUGCGUCUUGUGGUCUGGUGCGUCUUAUAGAGCGAAAAAUACGGUAUGUAAAAAAAGGGAAUCCUCUGACUCUCUCUAAGACCAAUAUUAUGCAGGCUAGCUAAAAAUGAUUCUUUAUCUGUAUAGACUUGCUCAUUCAUUGUCCUCCCUAAUCCUCUAGUUUUUCCAUAAUUAUCUGGAUGAAACUCGAACGUAGAGUUCCAUGCCCCUUAUAAACUGCAAUGGCCACCACCUGUAAUUAUUAUUAUUAUUUAUUUCAUUUCUAUACCGCUUUACGUUUUCAAGAAAAAAACCUCAAAGCCGUUUACAACACAUUUAAACAUCAAAUAAAACAACCCAGAAUAAAACAUUAUUGAAGAAAGUAUACAUUCAAAGCAAUAUACAGUGGUACCUCGGGUUACAAAUUUAAUUCAUUCCAGAGGUCCGUUCUUAACCUGAAACUGUUCUUAACCUGAGGUACCACUUUAGCUAAUGGGGCCUCCCACUGCUGCUGUGCCGCUGCCAUGUGAUUUCUGUCCUCAUCCUGAGGUAAAGUUCUUAACCUGAGGUACUAGUUCCGGGUUAGUGGAGUUUAUAAUCUGAAGUGUUUGUAACCCGAGGUUUUUGUAACCUGAGGUACCACUGUAGUUAACAGGAAACUAAAGCAUUGUCUUAAAUAUUUCAAAACAAAACGUUAUGAAGGUGGUCAACUACAGCAUUAACACAGCAAAGUUAACAAAAACAACCACAACCUUAAGCAUUUUAAAAAAAAGCAUCCGAAAGGAAGUCAACUAUAAAAUGCACAUUUAAAAUAGCACAAUUAUCAAAUCUGUUAUGAUUUGAUACUUGUUUAGUAUUCUACUUAAUUAAAUUUCAGCCAGUUCCUGGCUCUCCUAUGAUCAUGGCAGAUGUGUGUGCGAGAGAGAAUUGUGCAUCAUAUUUAGAAAAUGACCUGGUUUGAACUUUGGUGAGCUACCAGAGGGAGGAUGUUAUUUACCCGGCAUGCAAUUAUUGAGAACUUAGGACUUCUGGGGUUUCCUGAGAGAUGCGCCAUCAUUUCCUAUUGAGCCAGCUGGGCCUGUCUGCAUCACAGUAGGUUUAGCUGUUGUCAUUUUCCACCUAAGGUACCUUGGGAACUGUAGUUCUUUGAAACGUUCUAUAGCAAAUGAAGCCAGGAUUGUUUGAGGGUGGGGUGGAAUGGUAGUUGAUUAAACUGGCUUUCGUGAAGUUUAGAAUCUGUUGUGUAGUAAUGGGGAGCUCUAAAUGUGUUCCUCCCCAUGAGUUUACUCAAGGCAGCCUGGCAAUUCAUCAUGCACCAGCUACCACAUGACUUCAUGGAAUAUCUGACAAUAUUUGUGGGGGUUAAAUAGGAGGAAGGUUAAUUAACUAGUGUCAGUGACAAUUUUGACCAGUUUUUUGUCUGAUGUGCCAACCUGAGAUUAAUGGUAUCCUGAAAAUGGUAGCAUGAACCUGUCUACAAGAGACAACACACACUUGCUAGCUUAUUUUCAUUGAAGUGAAUGGGGCAGUGGGAAUUAUUUGAGGAGAGUGUCCACUCUCAUCACUUCCCGUUGGACAUUAUCCAGUGUGGUGUAGUGGUUAAGAGCGGUAGACUCAUAAUCUGGCGAACUGGGUUCGCGUCUCCGCUCCUCCACAUUCAGCUGCUGGGUGACCUUGGGCUAGUCACACUUCUCUGAAGUCUCUCAGCCCCACUCACCUCACAGAGUGUUUGUUGUGGGGGAGGAAGGGAAAGGAGAAUGUUAGCUGCUAUGAGACUCCUUCAGGUAGUGAUAAAGCGGGAUAUCAAAUCCAAAUUCUUAUUCUUCUUUUGUACACCCAAGUUAAUGAUCUGGGUCUCACACCGCAACCAAUUCACUGAACAAUGAUUGUCUGCAUCCAAUGCAGUUGAGAGCAAUUCCAACACGAGUAUUCUGUUCUUUACAUCACCUUCUGCUUUCUGUCUUCAUUCACAAUGUCAUUCUGGUUCAGGGCCUUUUGAAAAUGUGUUGCCAGAUGGUCAGCCUGAGAAUUUUCUGCUGGUUCUCUGAAUGUCCCGAUUGCCUUUCUGACAAGCCUUGUUCGACUCUCCUUCCCGUUUGGGUCAUCAUGUUGGGAAACAUGAGAUGUUACGUUAAUCUCCAGCAGGCGAUUUCAGACCUUUUAGAUCCACUUAUAACCUCACGAUGAAUUACUUCACUGUUUGGCAAAUAUUAAAUAACAUCUUUUUGUUGUGUGUGUUGCUGUGGCAGUGUCUGUGUCUGUGAUCUUCGGGCUCCAGCUGGCUCCAGAAGCUGUUGCUGCUCAGUCUCAACUCGCCUGCCUCUUCCUCUCGCUUGUGUCCUCCUGUUGAAACACAGCUGGUUUGCAUCUGUCAGGACGGAUGGAGGGACAUUUCAAACUAACCUGGCAAGAGCUGAGAAGAUCCGGAGCUGCCAGUCUUGGAGAACAACUCUUGGCUCCCGCUGAGUACCGUAUGCCUGAGCCUGAACCAAUUAUCUCGCGUUACACAAUUAGGGAAAUCGACUCGCUCCUCAAUCCCCACAUCCUUUCCACAUUGCGUAUUUCAAGGCUGAUCCAAACAUGCAGAAAGAGUGUGGGAUGCCACUUCAGACAGCAGGUGGGAAGCUGCGAUUGCAAAUACACCCUUAGCAGGAAGCAAGCCCCACUGAGCUCCAUAGAUGUACUUACGAACUGACACACACCUGCUACGACUGACCGAACCCAAAGGGUGCUCAUCAAUGGUUCCUCUUCAUCCUGGAGAAGAGUGACUAGUGGGGUGCCACAGGGUUCUGUCUUGGGCCCGGUCUUAUUCAACAUCUUUAUCAACGACUUGGAUGAUGGACUCAAGGGCAUCCUGAUCAAAUUUGCAGAUGACACCAAACUGG
This 6743-nucleotide long non-coding RNA is filed under the name Podarcis lilfordi (Lilford's wall lizard). Lineage: Eukaryota; Metazoa; Chordata; Lepidosauria; Squamata; Lacertidae. The record is from RNAcentral.